RNAcentral lists this ribosomal RNA (202 nucleotides) under uncultured bacterium. Its description in RNAcentral is "partial 16S ribosomal RNA". It matches the Rfam family "Bacterial small subunit ribosomal RNA", at positions 524 to 722 of the family's 1533-position model. The record is from RNAcentral.
UACGUAGGUGGCAAGCGUUGUCCGGAAUUAUUGGGCGUAAAGCGCGCGCAGGCGGUCCUUUAAGUCUGAUGUGAAAGCCCACGGCUCAACCGUGGAGGGUCAUUGGAAACUGGGGGGACUUGAGUGCAGGAGAGAAGAGUGGAAUUCCACGGUGUAGCGGUGGAAAUGCGAGAGUAUGUGGAGGAACACCAAUGGCGAAGGC